GCCUGGGUGGCUCAGUCGGUUGAGCGUCCGACUUUGGCUCAGGUCAUGAUCUCACAGUCUGUGGGUUCGAGCCCCGUGUCAGGCU
Molecule: transfer RNA, 85 nt
Filed under: Felis catus (domestic cat)
Lineage: Eukaryota; Metazoa; Chordata; Mammalia; Carnivora; Felidae
Also listed under: 2 other names
Rfam family: tRNA
About the family: Transfer RNA (tRNA) molecules are approximately 80 nucleotides in length.
Source: Rfam by way of RNAcentral